This 534-nucleotide ribosomal RNA is filed under the name uncultured bacterium. RNAcentral's name for it is "bacterial SSU rRNA". It matches the Rfam family "Bacterial small subunit ribosomal RNA", at positions 339 to 867 of the family's 1533-position model. The record is from RNAcentral.
CUACGGGAGGCAGCAGUGGGGAAUAUUGCGCAAUGGGGGAAACCCUGACGCAGCGACGCCUCGUGAGGGAUGAAGGCCUUCGGGUUGUAAACCUUUGUCAGAAGGGAAGAAUGGUUGAUGGUCCAAUAGGCCGUUGAUUUGACGGUACCUUCAGAGGAAGCACCGGCUAACUCCGUGCCAGCAGCCGCGGUAAUACGGAGGGUGCGAGCGUUAAUCGGAAUCACUGGGCGUAAAGCGUGCGUAGGCGGCCCAAUAAGUCAGGUGUGAAAGCCCUCGGCUCAACCGGGGAAUUGCACUUGAAACUAUUGGGCUUGAGUCUCGGAGAGGGUGGCGGAAUUCCAGGUGUAGGAGUGAAAUCCGUAGAUAUGUGGAGGAACACCAGUGGCGAAGGCGGCCACCUGGACGAGUACUGACGCUGAGGUAAGAAAGCGUGGGUAGCAAACAGGAUUAGAUCCCCUGGUAGUCCACGCUGUAAACGAUGGAUGCUAGGUGUCGGGGAGUUCAUCUUCGGUGCCGAAGCCAACGCAUAAGCAU